CCAACAUUGACAGGCAAGCCGUAAAAUAAAAUAUGUAUUAAUUGUAAUAGAAUUACGUUUAUUAUCUACAGUUUACCUUCAUUUUAACGCCUAUAUAUGUUAAGAGGUUAUAAACGAAUGGUUUCCGUACAAGUGUUUUUCAUUUGUAUUAGCAUUUAUUUUAUGUUACCUUUUAGCGCAAAGUACGCCAACAGAAUACUUAAUUCAGUCGAAACAACUGGAAAAACUUUGUUUGUUGAUGAGAACGGGCUACCUAUACCAUAAGUAAACUUUCCCUAUUAUACCAGUUAUGCUG
This 295-nucleotide long non-coding RNA is filed under the name Sitophilus oryzae (rice weevil). RNAcentral's name for it is "uncharacterized LOC115889105". The record is from RNAcentral. Lineage: Eukaryota; Metazoa; Arthropoda; Insecta; Coleoptera; Curculionidae.